This 1150-nucleotide long non-coding RNA is filed under the name Heterocephalus glaber (naked mole-rat). Its description in RNAcentral is "lncRNA (ENSHGLG00100035613.1)". Lineage: Eukaryota; Metazoa; Chordata; Mammalia; Rodentia; Bathyergidae. The record is from RNAcentral.
GCCCUGGCCACCCCCCAGGUGCUCUUCACCCCACUUUCCCGUUUUCCCACAGUGACCGCUGUGCCCGAGGGUGUCCAGGAGUCCUGGGCAUUGGAUAGCAGAGGCGGACACAUGGCCCUCACCCCACAUCCCAGCUCCCGUGUCCAGCCUGCCCAAGGCCAGCUCAGCCCUCAGUUGGGAGGCACAGCGCUAGGUGGCCACUCCUGGCGCUGGGGAGCCAGGCUGCUGGGUCCCCUCACUCGGGACCAGGACAAUCCAGAUUGCUGGGCAGGUAGCCGGAAGCGGUCUGUCACUUUAUAUCUGUGGAGGUGGUACCAGAAAACUAGAAAUGGCCCCAAACGUGUCCACCCUCAGAUCUCCCACUGCCCCUUGCUUCCUCGAGGGGCAGCUCUUGUCCACACCAGGCAGGAGUCCCGGCCACAGAUGUGAUGGCAGGCUCCCAGGCACUCAGCAUCAUGAGGCACACUUCACGUGAGGGUGAUGUGGGGCAUGGGGGGAGCUCCCACGGGCACGGGGUCCCAUCCUGAGUGGGGAGCAGUGUUGCCACGGGACGACACCACCUGCAGAAGCUGCAGCUGUGGACCCUAGAAGUGUACCUUCAGCUCCACGGGGGAGUGCAGAGUCUGGUCCACUGCCCCCUCCUGAGUGGUGCCGGGUCAGGGUGGCCAGGGGUGCACCUUCCUCCUCAUCCUCAGGCCCAGCUGGUCACCUCCACUUGAAUUUUCCUAUGUGCCAGGGGGUGGCACAGGUCUGUCAUCCCAGCACUCUGGGAGGCUGGGGCAGGAGGAUCGUGAGUUUGAGCAGCUUCGUGAGACCCUGUCUCAAAAUAAAAAAGGUGAACGGUACGGUGAGCGGGGAGAUCAGGCGCACGAUUCUUCCCAAAACCAGCGCAAGAGAGGUGUGAAGUCUGCGGCGGCCAGGGAGGUCAUCAGAACUGCUUCCACUGAGAGAGCUGCACCUCGUGUGGAGAAGGCCGGGGCGACUGGCCUGCCUGAGGCCAGUGCAGCAGCAGUGCCAGGCAGCUGCUGAGCACCACAAGGAAGGGACGCGGCUCUCCGGGGAGCACUGGAGCCCCAAGGGAUGCCGUCCGCCACGAAGGGGGACACAAGGGGCUCGCCCUAUGUGCUGUGGGCCCAGGCACGAGUGUGAG